RNAcentral lists this ribosomal RNA (441 nucleotides) under uncultured bacterium. RNAcentral describes it as "partial 16S ribosomal RNA". It matches the Rfam family "Bacterial small subunit ribosomal RNA", at positions 338 to 795 of the family's 1533-position model. The record is from RNAcentral.
CCUACGGAUGGCAGCAGUGGGGGAUAUUGCACAAUGGGGGGAACCCUGAUGCAGCGACGCCGCGUGGGUGAAGGAGUGCUUCGGCAUGUAAAGCCCUAUCGGCAGGGAAGAAGCAAGACGGUACCUGACUAAGAAGCCCCGGCUAACUACGUGCCAGCAGCCGCGGUAAUACGUAGGGGGCGAGCGUUAUCCGGAUGCACUGGGUGUAAAGGGAGCGUAGACGGUCAUGCAAGCCAGGGGUGAAAGCCCGGGGCCCAACCCCGGGACUGCCCUUGGAACUGUGCGGCUAGAGUGCGGGAGGGGCAGGCGGAAUUCCUGGUGUAGCGGUGAAAUGCGUAGAUAUCAGGAGGAACACCGAUUGCGAAGGCAGCUUACCAAUCUAUAUCUGACGUUGAGGCACGAAAGCGUGGGGAGCAAACAGGAUUAGAUACCCGGGUAGUC